GGUGAGGUGGCCGAGCGGUCUAAGGCGCCAGACUAAGGUCGUGCGUACUAUUGGACCAACUUAGUUUCUGAUUUUGUAAAUCUGGUCCGAAAGGGCGUGGGUUCGAAUCCCAUCCUCAUCA
Molecule: transfer RNA, 121 nt
Rfam family: tRNA
About the family: Transfer RNA (tRNA) molecules are approximately 80 nucleotides in length.